RNA transcript from Jatropha curcas, 725 nucleotides. It is a transcript of the gene named zinc finger BED domain-containing protein DAYSLEEPER-like, with no coding region annotated. Lineage: Eukaryota; Viridiplantae; Streptophyta; Magnoliopsida; Malpighiales; Euphorbiaceae. The record is from RefSeq and is a predicted model, not a curated record.
UUUUCCCUUCUUAAUCCCUCUCUGGACCCUCUCCUCCUCGCUAUUCAGAUUUGUGCAGCACCAAAUCUCUUUCUUCUCUAUUCUCAAUUCUCAUAAUCGAUCAUCUUUUCCGACUAAACUCAUUGCACGAAGCUGCUGUCUACUCCAAUCAGUAUAUAGUAGCUAAAAUGAGUUCAUCUACUCCUCUUGAGGAGCUCAUGAGUUCAUCCAACCCCAACUUAACUCAAAGUGAAGCUGAAAUUGCAUCAAGGAAUUUGAGAAAGCCAAUAAAGCCAAGGUCUGCUGUUUGGAAUCAUUUCAUAAGGUACAUUAGUAAGGGGGGAGAAGAAAAAUGUAAGUGUAAUUAUUGUAGUAAAGAAUUCUGUUAUAAUACAAGAAAGAAUGGCACAUCUGCACUUAGGAAUCACAUGAAUUCUUGUAAGAAUCAUUCAUAUGCAAUUGACACAAAACCACACAAUUAUCCUUCCAAAGUAUUUCAAAUCCUAAUUAGGGAGAUGUAGGCAUACUUAGUACUUGAAAGUAUGACGAAAAUGCAAUUAGGGAGGCUCUUGCAUUUAUGGUUGUUGUGAAUGAAUUACCUUUUCAGUUUGUUGAAGGUGAGGAUUUUAAGCGAUUUAUAAAAGUCGUAUGCCCUAGGUUUAAAAUUUUAUCUCGUUGGACAGUUUCUCAAGAUUGUUACCAAUUGUAUUUGAAUGAGAGGUCUAAAUUGAAAGUUUUUUUAGAAA